Podarcis lilfordi (Lilford's wall lizard) is the source of this 74-nucleotide non-coding RNA. The record is from the annotation of a GenBank genome assembly. NCBI's taxonomy places the organism in Eukaryota, Metazoa, Chordata, Lepidosauria, Squamata, Lacertidae.
CUCUCUGCGGUGCAAUGGGUCAGUGUAGCUGGCUGUUAACCAGAAGGUUGGUGGUUUGAACCCACCCAGGGAUG